This is a long non-coding RNA of Vidua chalybeata, 459 nucleotides long. RefSeq lists it as uncharacterized. The transcript is spliced from 3 exons. The record is from RefSeq and is a predicted model, not a curated record. NCBI's taxonomy places the organism in Eukaryota, Metazoa, Chordata, Aves, Passeriformes, Viduidae.
CCAAAUAGGGUAGGAAUCCCCACGGAGCAGCGAGAGCUGCGGAGCAUCCCCGGGGUGCGAAGGGAGGACACCGACAGAGAAUCCCUUGGGUCAACGAGCGCCGAGAGCGACCGAGCAUCCCCGUGGUGAGGACGACGGUGCCAGGAGCAGCACGGAGAGUGAGAUAGCAUCCCCCGGAGGGUAGGGAUCCCCACGGAGAGCGGCGGAGCAUCCCCGGGGUGAGAAAGGAAGACACGGACAGAGCAUCCCCCGGGGCAGCAAGCACCGAGAGCGGCCGAGCACCGCCCCAGAGCGAGGGACACGGAACCGGGAGCACCACGGGGACCCAUGGAGCAUCCACCCGGGUCAGCGGUGAAGAGGGUGCCGGGAUCGGGCGGGAGGAGCACGGACACCCACCGGAUCAUCCCCCACAGGGUAGGAAUCCCCACGGAGCAGCGAGAGCGUCGGAGCAUCCCCGGG